UACGUAGGGUGCAAGCGUUGCCCGGAUUUAUUGGGCGUAAAGGGCGCGUAGGCGGUGCGGUAAGUCUGUAGUGAAAUCUCUGGGCUCAACUCAGAGUCUGCUAUAGAAACUGCCGUGCUUGAGUGUGGGAGAGGUGAGUGGAAUUUCCGGUGUAGCGGUGAAAUGCGUAGAUAUCGGAAGGAACACCUGUGGCGAGAGCGGCUCACUGGACCAUUACUGACGCUGAUGCACGAAAGCUAGGGGAGCAAACAGG
This 253-nucleotide ribosomal RNA is filed under the name uncultured bacterium. RNAcentral describes it as "partial 16S ribosomal RNA". It matches the Rfam family "Bacterial small subunit ribosomal RNA", at positions 524 to 776 of the family's 1533-position model. The record is from RNAcentral.